AACCCCAUAAAACCUUUGUGGUAUUGAAACUCUUUCUCUGGCAUCUUCCCAUUGCAUUGGUGUAGAUGAGAGAUUGAGCUCGAGCUAGCUCGAAUAAAGGCUCUUUGCUUUUGCAUCGGUGUUGGCUCCUUGGUGGUCUUCUGGGAUUCACAACUUUGGGCACAACAUUUGGGGGCUCGUCUGGGAUCCCAGAGACCCCCAGGACUCCCGACCCAGAGGGCCCUGUGCCGGCUGAAAUAUCCGAAUUUCCUUAUGUCUACUGUCUUGCAGUAAGCUCUCAUCAGAUCUUUAACCAUUGUCAUUUAAGCCACAAAACUGCAAAUAGUAAUAGAAAUGAAACUCAGAAUAGAAGCGCCAACUUUCUGAGGCCCUCUCAACUGACCAGUGAUGGAGACCUAGCUGCACCCUUUACUGCGCCCCCUUCUCAGCACGAAGCAGCCAGAGCAGUCAUUGCCCCUUUUCCCUAGCAGCAGCUAGGGUCUCUAUCUGUAGAGGGGAGAAUGAGACAGGGACCAUAGGCUUAGACAGAAUAAGGUGAGAGCCUCUGGAGGGGGCAGGGCAGGAUAUUUGCAAUCAGAGCAACAUAAAGAAGAGUAGCACAUGUUUUAUUAUGCUAAUCAUUUGUAAUCAUGUAUAAGAUUCACUUUAGCAUACUAAAAGGCCCAGGCCUAGGUGCUGUCUUUCCUCCUUCAGAUCUGACUAGGUAAUUUUGCAAGCUGAGCAAUUGACUUAGCAUGCAGACCCAGCUGUAGUCGGCAUAGUAAAAGGCAGGAUUCUUUAGCAAAUAGACAAUAUCUCAGCCCACCUUAGAGGCUGGGCAUGCAGUCUUUUGAUGUGCACCCGAACCAAGGUGCCAGUGUCCCAGAGAGAAAUCAAGGCAGGAAAUUAUCUUUAAUAUUCAAGGACCCCUUGCCAUCCUACUCCUUUUAUUAACCCUUAGGCCCUGUAUCAUCAACAGGCUGGUCCAGAUUGUCAGAGACCACAUGGGGGCCAUCCAACUAAUAGUCCUCCAGGCUCAAUACAAGCCCCUAGUAAUCUUGUUACUCCUGCUUACCUUUAGACCAUGUAUCCUCAAUAAACUGAUAACUUUAAUUAAAGAUAGAAUUAAUAGAGUCCAGCUAAUGGUGCUAAGACAACAGUAUCAGCCUUUAUCUCCUUACAACUGCAAAACCUUAUUAGACCCAUGAUUGGGUCCCUUCUUAGGAUCCAGAGAAAGGGGAGAAUGAAGGGGCAAGCUCCCAGAUUCUAUUUCAGCCAAUUGGGACCCAGAUCCUACCUCAGCCAAUCGGGACCCGGAUCCUAUUUCACCCAAUCAGAGCUUGGUCUCUCUCCUCUCCAGUCAGCAAGGGGCUCAUCCACCAUCCUUAGACCCUGCCAAUUGACCAGAGCCAUGACCUAUCACCCCACCAACUACCCCUAGAUCCAGCCAAUCAGCCAGAGCCACAACCAUCACCCCACCAACUGCCCUAGAACCCCAUAAAACCUUUGUGGUAUUGAAACUCGCUCUCUUUCUCUGACAUCUUGCCACUGCAUUGGUGUAGAUGAGAGACUGAGCUCAAGCUGGCUUGAAUAAAGGCUCUUUGCUUUUGCAUCGGUGUUGGCUCCUUGGUGGUCUUCUGGGAUUCGCAACUUUGGGCACAUCAGAAACAGACAGGAUAGGAUCUUUUCUAGUCCACUGAAAAAGGUAUAGAUGGAACAGCAGGAGGAGCUCCUGGGGAGAAGUGAGCGAGAACCUGAGCUCAGAGCUGGGAGGCUGGGUUCUGGGCCCGGUGCCGCCAUGACACAGGGCAGAGCCUCACCCAGACCCCACCUACAGAGGUCCCUAGCCCCUGCCUCCUCUUCUCUGCUGCCACUCUUCCUCAUGCUCACCACCUCCAGACAUGCUGGCUUGCGGCCCCUUCAGGGUCUCAGGCCCUUUUCAGCUGCUGUUCCCCCUGCCCAGGAUGUUCUUCCUCGGACCUUAGAGUGGCUGGCUCCUUCUCAUCUUUUGGCUUCAAUGUUACUUCCUCCCAGAAGCCCUUUCUGAGCCUCCUGCCACCAUCACUUGAUCACAUGCCCUCUUUUAUUAUGGUCACUGCACAUAUCAUUGCCUGAGAUUAUCCUCUUAAGUCAUUGUUUACUCUUUCCCCACAUUACACAGAAACAGCAGAAAGGCAGGAUCUGGGCUGGUUUGAGCACAUUUGCAACCUCAAGACCCAGAGCAGAACCUGACUUUACAGGGGGAACAGCAGAAGCUGCGGGAAGCUGAGUAACUGGCCUGAGGUCACAAGCUCAUAAGCAGUGGAACUGAGAUU
This is a long non-coding RNA of Manis pentadactyla (Chinese pangolin), 2294 nucleotides long. RefSeq lists it as uncharacterized. Lineage: Eukaryota; Metazoa; Chordata; Mammalia; Pholidota; Manidae. The record is from RefSeq and is a predicted model, not a curated record. The transcript is spliced from 4 exons.